This 67-nucleotide transfer RNA is filed under the name Dorcatragus megalotis (beira). Its description in RNAcentral is "tRNA-Cys". It matches the Rfam family "tRNA". From Rfam's summary of the family: Transfer RNA (tRNA) molecules are approximately 80 nucleotides in length. Their secondary structure includes four short double-helical elements and three loops (D, anti-codon, and T loops). The record is from RNAcentral. Lineage: Eukaryota; Metazoa; Chordata; Mammalia; Artiodactyla; Bovidae.
GGCCUUGUAGUGGAUUAACAUAUUGAAUUGCAAAUUCAAAGAAGCAGCUUAGAGUCUGCCGGGGCUU